This is a ribozyme of Equus caballus (horse), 255 nucleotides long. It matches the Rfam family "Nuclear RNase P". From Rfam's summary of the family: Ribonuclease P (RNase P) is a ubiquitous endoribonuclease, found in archaea, bacteria and eukarya as well as chloroplasts and mitochondria. The record is from Ensembl. Lineage: Eukaryota; Metazoa; Chordata; Mammalia; Perissodactyla; Equidae.
UUAGGGAAGCUCAUCUGUGGGGCCACGAGCUGACUGCGUCGUGUCACUCUACCUCACAUCCUUUGGAAAGUUCUGAGGGAGGUGAGUUCCGAGGCCCCGGGGGAGGGCAGCCCGCUCUUGGGGAGGGCCCGGCGGAUGCCUCCUUAGUCGGAGCUUGGAACAGACUCAGGGCCCAGCGAAGUGAGCUUCAGUGGCUGAGGGGAGGUGCCCUGCGUGGGCCCUCAUCACCCCAUUCAGACUACUCUCCCCCAUUGA